Long non-coding RNA from Trichosurus vulpecula (common brushtail), 701 nucleotides. RefSeq lists it as uncharacterized. Lineage: Eukaryota; Metazoa; Chordata; Mammalia; Diprotodontia; Phalangeridae. The record is from RefSeq and is a predicted model, not a curated record. The transcript has 4 exons.
AGUGCUCUGCUGUCUGAUUAUGUCUGUUCUACCUCUCAAAACUUCAUAAGGCUUGAAUUUCUAAAGCUUAAUGAUUCAGCAAUACAGGCUGAGUACCUAGUACCUAAUGUCUGGAGAGCCCUACACUGGCAGGUAUGAACCAAGUGAGGGUCAAGGGACAGAGCCGGUUCUGGAGAAAUGGGUGCAGUUGCGGAGCAUCUGAAACUGGAACAAGGCCAUGUGGCUCCGGGGCAGUGCUGAUUGGUUGAAAGAUUUGGCGACUUGCAAGAAGAUUGCCCUUGAGGGAGGUACAGGGCCUUCAGCGGGGCAGAGAGGAACUUUCAUCUAGUCUGAAUGUAGCCAUGGCAACUUGGUCUAAGUGGGAAUCACUCUACUGAUUUGGAGUAUGUUACAAACUGUAGGUGAAUGAGUAUCAGAGACAGAAUGGAGCAGAUUGUUACCUUAUGAGCUUCCAUUGGUUGGAAGAGCCAACAGAAAUCCAGCAACUGGAGUCUAUGACAGAGUUUGCCAGUAGCUGCAGGAGCCAUGGCCAGUGAGGAGCCAGCCCAGCUUGAACUGCCUGAGAGCCUGUGCACCACAGUUGGGGCUGUGAUUGGAACAGGCUACCGAAGCUUCCCCAACCCAAAAGCGAUAAAGAAAAGAGAAAAAAGUAAAGAAAAUUAAGCUUCUUAUUUCAGAAAUAAACUUGGUGUUCCUUAAAA